RNAcentral lists this ribosomal RNA (480 nucleotides) under Chileogovea sp. SLB-2008. RNAcentral describes it as "partial 16S ribosomal RNA". The record is from RNAcentral. Lineage: Eukaryota; Metazoa; Arthropoda; Arachnida; Opiliones; Pettalidae.
UUCUUUUAGAAUUAAUUAAAAGUAUCUUCUGCUCCAUGAUAAAUUAAAUAGCUGCAGUUUUCUGUACUAAGGUAGCAUAAUCAAUUGUUUAUUAAUUGUAAACUCGUAUGAAGGAAGGAAUAAUAUAUGAUUUUAUUAUCUUUAUGAUUUGAAUUUAAAAUUUAGGUAAAAAUACCUAAACUUAAUAUAGGGACAAGAAGACCCUAUAAAGCUUAAUAGAAACAAAGAAAAAUUUUUGAUGUGUGCUAUUUUAUUGGGGCAAUAGAUUAUUUAUAACAAAUAUAAUAAUACAAUAAUACAAAAAUAAUUAAUAGAUCCAUUUAUAAUGAUAAAAUGAACAAGUUACUUUAGGGAUAACAGGAUAAUUUUUGUUAAGAAGAACAAAUUUAUAAUAAAGAUUAUUACCUCGAUGUUGGAUUAAUUAAUUUAAAUAAUGAAGAAGUUAUUAAAAUUUGGCUGUUCGCCAAUUGAAAAAUUACA